Molecule: small RNA, 162 nt
Filed under: Actinobacteria bacterium OK074
Lineage: Bacteria; Bacillati; Actinomycetota; Actinomycetes
Also listed under: 1 other name
Description: c-di-AMP riboswitch aptamer (ydaO/yuaA leader)
Rfam family: c-di-AMP riboswitch aptamer (ydaO/yuaA leader)
About the family: This family represents a conserved RNA structure found upstream of the ydaO and yuaA genes in Bacillus subtilis and related genes in other bacteria. The ydaO/yuaA element is thought to act as a genetic "off" switch for the ydaO and yuaA genes in its native state.
Source: Rfam by way of RNAcentral
GAAACCGUGUCGCUCAACCGUCCACGGCAGGAGCGGGGGACCCACAGGUACGACGCCUGUCCGGACUCCGGAACAGGCUUGGGGUAAAGCCGUGCGCACCACGCGGCCGGGCAUCUCCUGCCCGCACCCGACAGCUCACCUCGUAGGCGCGGGAGAGGAAUU